GACGAACGCUGGCGGCGUGCCUAACACAUGCAAGUCAAGGGGAAAGUUUUGCUUCGGCGGAGCGAGUAUACUGGCGGACGGGUGAGUAACGCGUAGGCAACCUGCCCUUACGGAUGGGAUAACCCAGCGAAAGUUGGACUAAUACCGUAUAAAGCGACUGUAUUACCUGAUAUAGUUGUCAAAGGUUGCUUUUCGGAGCAAUCGCGUAAGGAUGGGCCUGCGUUCCAUUAGCUAGUUGGUGAGGUAACGGCUCACCAAGGCGACGAUGGAUAGCUGGUUUGAGAGAGUGAUCAGCCACACUGGGACUGAGAUACGGCCCAGACUCCUACGGGAGGCAGCAGUGAGGAAUAUUGCGCAAUGGAGGAAACUCUGACGCAGCAACGCCGCGUGGGGGAUGAAGUUCUAUGGAGUGUAAACCCCUGUAAGUAGGGACGAAAGUUAUAUAUUCGAAUAGGGUAUAUAUA
This 464-nucleotide ribosomal RNA is filed under the name uncultured Caldithrix sp. Its description in RNAcentral is "bacterial SSU rRNA". It matches the Rfam family "Bacterial small subunit ribosomal RNA", at positions 28 to 471 of the family's 1533-position model. Lineage: Bacteria; Pseudomonadati; Calditrichota; Calditrichia; Calditrichales; Calditrichaceae. The record is from RNAcentral.